CAGGUUUGUUAUCUUUAAAUCCCUAUCAGGCUAUAUUUUACAUAAAGAGCAUACUUCCUGGUUUAUCAUCUUUGAGCUCGUGCUUCCAUUUUGUGUGUAGACAAUGAAAUGCAUUUACAUAAUAAUUAGCAAAUUUUACCCUGACCUUUUCUAUUUUGAGAUUAUUAAUGUACGACACACAAUUGCGAGGGAAGAAAAUCAUUUGACUCGAGUAAAGACUAGUCAAACUGAGAUUUCUCUCUUCAGAGCUUUCCUACCAGAAUCCGAUGCAUCACAAGAUUGCAAAUGCAGAUAUGUCUCUCACCAUCCCAUAAUUUGGAGUAACAGUAUGAGGUGCUUUCGGUAUCUUUGGGCAUAAAACUUAUAUACCUACCAGUAAUUCUAAUAAGAUUUAGUCCGAAAGAAUCUUCUUUUUUUUUAAAUCGCAUGCUCAUUAUGGUUGAUUUCUCAUCUCUAAAGUCACUGUAGUCUGAGGCUUUUAGUAAAAAAGAAUACUUCAUGUGGUUGCCUUAGAGUAGAAUCUCUGCCUGAAAUACAUGCCUGUUGUCAAUUUACUCUACACUAGUUUGAUCAUUCACCCUUCAUUAUUUGGAUGGACAUAAUCAAAUUGAUAAAUUAAUCUAAAAGAGAGAUAACUAAUGACAUGUAUCUUUCAGGGACUAUAAUGAGGUUUUUCUCAUUUCACAUUUCUUCUCUUAUUUCCUUAUCUUUCUGAGAUUGAGCUGAUGUCUGUCUUUUGCAUUGUUAAUCUGCAUUUGUUUCACCUUCAAAUUUUAUUUACCGAGUUGUUUGACAUAGUAUAGGAGAUCCAGGUCUCACAUUUUACACCACCUGUAUUUGGGUUUGUACUUCUGGAGUUGGAAUCUGUUUUAACUUUCAAGUCUUACAGAGCUAUAUUUAUCCUUGUCUGCCUUUUUUUUCAAGUCAUUUAGGAUUAUCCUCUUUGAAGCUUAAUUUGAGGUCUUAGAGAAAAUUGUAGGCUGAAUUGAUAAAUAAUUUCUUUCUGUUUGUCAAUUUGUGUCUUCAAUCUUUGAAAAGCCUAAUACUUCAUACUUGAUGGCAGGGGUGGCCAUAUUAUAAUGUAGACAUGUUUUAACUGCCAUUCUGUAUAAUAUACGGAGUCCAUUCUGAAAUGUGGGAGGUUCAGUGACAAAUGUCAUUAAGUUUUCCUUGUACUCUAGUUUAUGUGUUUCUUGUUUUGAGGUGUAAAUGUAUCCAAAUUUCUAUGUAAUGCCUGGCUUGUUGGAUUGUAAGUUUGUUUCAGUUCAUAUUUUCAUUUGCAUUUUGAUAUUUCUGCUAGGAAUGUAUAUUAAAUUAUUGAUCUCAGUUUGUAUGAGUAAUUCUAAUGUAAAUUUAAUGUAUUUGAAUCAUUCAACAUUCAAAUUAAUUAUAUUUUUGGUUCAAAUUAAGAAGGAACAAGUGCAAGAACGGAAACAACUAAUUAUGUUUUUAUUGCAUGGAAGGAUUCUAGAGUCACAAAAGUUUAAUCUUGUUCUUUCUAUUCUCAUGAUUUUUUAGUAUUUAUAUCAAUAUUUGAUGUUUCUGUGUUAUGUGGUUACCACCUCUUCAUUGUUGGCAUAUUUGUUGUGUGUUGGAUGUUUUAUGACUUUGGGAAUGUUGUGUUGUGCUUGGUACAUAAUGUGCCCUGGUUGACAGAAUUGAUUGCUGUAGUUCCCAAGUUUAUUUCACCCCUUUAAUUCCGUAUUAUUUAACUGCUCUUUAAAGGAUUGAUGAAUCUGUUCUGCUGUGCACUUUAAAGGAUUGAUGAAUCUGUUCUGCUGUUGCAGUAUUACUUCGACACACUGUUUCCUCGCAUCCCUGUUCCUGUAUUGCGGCAGGUUGUGUCUCAUCUUGAAAAGAUGAAGCUCCCCACUACACAUUCUGGUUCAACUGGG
This 1895-nucleotide long non-coding RNA is filed under the name Phaseolus vulgaris (common bean). Its description in RNAcentral is "long non-coding RNA (PVUL_LNC001874)". The record is from RNAcentral. Lineage: Eukaryota; Viridiplantae; Streptophyta; Magnoliopsida; Fabales; Fabaceae.